Non-coding RNA from Caenorhabditis elegans, 225 nucleotides. The record is from Ensembl. Lineage: Eukaryota; Metazoa; Nematoda; Chromadorea; Rhabditida; Rhabditidae.
CCAAACUGAGCAAAUAAGUAUUUUCGAGAAAGGUACUACCAGGUCUGUAGCCAUAAAAUUUUUAUGUUCUUGCUCAUAAAACACAAAAUAAGGAGACACACAGCUGGGAGCCACAGAGGGGACGUUUUGAUAAACCUCAGUUUCUAUGACAACGUGGAACAUUUUUAUAGGCACUGGGGACAAAAAAACUGAAAAAUGAGAAACGAACCGACCUCCACUCGUUUU